RNAcentral lists this ribosomal RNA (120 nucleotides) under Candidatus Woesearchaeota archaeon. RNAcentral describes it as "partial 23S ribosomal RNA". It matches the Rfam family "Bacterial large subunit ribosomal RNA", at positions 2092 to 2211 of the family's 2925-position model. The record is from RNAcentral. Lineage: Archaea; Nanobdellati; Candidatus Woesearchaeota.
CGUGAAACUUUACUGUAGCUUGUUACUGCGUUGUAUGUUUUGAUGUGCAGUGUAGGUGGGAGUUGCUAAAGCGUAGACGCCAGUUUACGUGUAGACGACAAUGAAACACCACCCUUCGAA